RNAcentral lists this ribosomal RNA (569 nucleotides) under uncultured bacterium. RNAcentral's name for it is "partial 16S ribosomal RNA". It matches the Rfam family "Bacterial small subunit ribosomal RNA", at positions 355 to 912 of the family's 1533-position model. The record is from RNAcentral.
UGGGGAAUAUUGCACAAUGGGCGCAAGCCUGAUGCAGCCAUGCCGCGUGUGUGAAGAAGGCCUUCGGGUUGUAAAGCACUUUCAGCGAGGAGGAAGGUGGUGAGCUUAAUACGCUCAUCAAUUGACGUUACUCGCAGAAGAAGCACCGGCUAACUCCGUGCCAGCAGCCGCGGUAAUACGGAGGGUGCAAGCGUUAAUCGGAAUUACUGGGCGUAAAGCGCACGCAGGCGGUUUGUUAAGUCAGAUGUGAAAUCCCCGGGCUCAACCUGGGAACUGCAUUUGAAACUGGCAAGCUAGAGUCUCGUAGAGGGGGGUAGAAUUCCAGGUGUAGCGGUGAAAUGCGUAGAGAUCUGGAGGAAUACCGGUGGCGAAGGCGGCCCCCCUGGACGAAGACUGACGCUCAGGUGCGAAAGCGUGGGGCAGCAAACAGGAUUAGAUACCCUGGUAGUCCAGCGCUGUAAACGAUGUCGAUUUGGAGGUUGUGCCCCUUGAGGCGUGGCUUCCGGAGCUAACGCGUUAAAUCGACCGCCUGGGGAGUACGGCCGCAAGGUUAAAACUCAAAUGAAUUG